Panicum virgatum (switchgrass) is the source of this 1151-nucleotide long non-coding RNA. RefSeq lists it as uncharacterized. The transcript is spliced from 2 exons. Lineage: Eukaryota; Viridiplantae; Streptophyta; Magnoliopsida; Poales; Poaceae. The record is from RefSeq and is a predicted model, not a curated record.
AGCUAUUACGAAGAUCCUGUGGAAGUCGCCGAAGAUUGUAUGUAUGGUCGCAGAAGAUGAGAGAUGCCGGGCACGUGGAUGCACAACCAGGACGUGUGCGAGAUAUCCGUGCUAUCUCUAGUCGUGUGCUCCACGCGCCUCGCUCAUAGCUGCUGUGCUGGCUGUUGGGGCAAUCGGUACAAUUGCACUCUGCCGACCAGGGGCUGCCGCAUGGUCAUCAGUGAGCGCGCAUGAGCAGUGCAGGUGGAUCUCAGACAUGGUAUUCCUCCAAGGGAAGCUCUAUGCUCUUGAAAACAUCACUACCUCUCAGGAUGUUGUUGCCAUAGACGACAUUGUGGAUGAGCAUGACAGCAAUGAGCCAAGGGUGUCUCGAAUUGAGCUCCUCAUUGAGGGAGUGUCCUGGCUACCCGAGCGAUAUUCUUUGCGUUGGCCCUACCUCCUUGAAUCCCAUGGCACACUGCUAAUGAUUUGCAGAAAAAUUUCUUACAAAACAGAGCCCACGUUUGGAAGAAGAGAUGGUGUCACUUUUGUGGCUGGUAGCAGCGAGUUUGAAGUGUUUGAGGCAGAUUUUGAGCAUCACUUGUGGACUGAGGUGAGGAAUUUGGGGAAUGACCAGGCGUUGUUCCUUGGGCCAAGGGUGCUCAAGGGCUGUCCGUGUGUCUCCAUAUGAUCUGUCACGGCAUUGUAUCUUCUUCCUGGAUGAUUACACUGGUUCGAUGUGGAAGAAAAUUACUACAUCUUGUGGUGUAUAUGACAUGAAAGACGGGAAGGUAUAUUCACCAUUGCCUAUGGUAUCAUGGAAGAGUGGAGACGUCCCAGCAACCUGGAUUUUCUCCAAGGGUGAUACGGAUAAGUUGAAAACACAGGUGAAGCAUUAGCAGGAAAUUGUGGGACCUGAAGAAAGGAUCCACUUGCACGUCUAUAUGCAGGGACUUGUUCUGCCGGUGCUUAUACUGUUCUGUACUGAGCAAAACUGCUAAAAAGGGUAAAGCAAAUCUUGGUACAGUCAUGCGUUCCUACUGAAGUGGCUAAUAUACGAUGUCUGGCAUGUGUCUGAUGCAUCCCUUUGACCUUUGUGGUGUUACUUGAGACAUGUCCAUUAAAAUAACAAUUGAAAGAUGCUCUCUACUUUUGGCAUUACUGUUGGAGAA